AAGGGAAGCACUGGAUCCUGGGCUGUGUCCCCUGGCACCUUGGGAUCCGGGGCCUGUGCCCCUGGAAUCAUGCUCCCGGACUGCAUAGCCCCCU
RNAcentral lists this microRNA precursor (94 nucleotides) under Canis lupus dingo (dingo). RNAcentral describes it as "mir-8799 microRNA precursor family". It matches the Rfam family "mir-8799 microRNA precursor family". Lineage: Eukaryota; Metazoa; Chordata; Mammalia; Carnivora; Canidae. The record is from Rfam by way of RNAcentral.